Molecule: ribosomal RNA, 459 nt
Filed under: uncultured bacterium
Lineage: Bacteria
Description: partial 16S ribosomal RNA
Rfam family: Bacterial small subunit ribosomal RNA
Source: RNAcentral
CCUACGGGUGGCAGCAGUGAGGAAUAUUGGUCAAUGGGAGAGCUCCUGAACCAGCCAAGCCGCGUGAGGGAAGACGGCCCUAUGGGGUGUAAACCUCUUUUGCCGGAGAACAAAACCCGGGACUUGCCCCGGACUGCGUGUAUCCGAAGAAAAAGCAUCGGCCAACACUGUGCCAGCAGCCGCGGUAAUACGGAGGAUGCGAGCGUUAUCCGGAUUUAUUGGGUUUAACGGGUGCGUAGGCGGUCCGUUAAGUCAGCGGCAAAAUUGCGGGGCUCAACCCUGUCGAGCCGUUGAAACUGGCUGACUUGAGUUGGCGAGAAGUACGCGGAAUGCGCGGUGUAGCGGUGAAAUGCAUAGAUAGCGCGCAGAACUCCGAUUGCGAAGGCAGCGUACCGGCGCCAGACUGACGCUGAGGCACGAAAGCGUGGGGAUCGAACAGGAUUAGAUACCCGAGUAGUC